GUCAUACUACGGCGCAACGCCCCAAAAAGUAAACGAUGACCCAUAAGGAACUCCAGGGUAAAAUGAUCAUCAAAUAGAGAAUUGUAGCUGACCUGGGACCUUGAGCCCCGGGUCGGUAUUUUUU
Non-coding RNA from Escherichia coli ISC11, 124 nucleotides. The record is from Rfam. Lineage: Bacteria; Pseudomonadati; Pseudomonadota; Gammaproteobacteria; Enterobacterales; Enterobacteriaceae.